RNAcentral lists this non-coding RNA (24 nucleotides) under Arabidopsis thaliana (thale cress). Lineage: Eukaryota; Viridiplantae; Streptophyta; Magnoliopsida; Brassicales; Brassicaceae. The record is from RNAcentral.
GCAUUGCUUGAUUCACGUUCCAGA